UGAGUAACACGUGGGCAACCUGCCCAUAAGCCUGGGAUAACUUCGGGAAACCGGAGCUAAUACCGGAUAAUAUAAGGAACCUCCUGGUUCUUUAUUGAAAGAUGGUUUCGGCUAUCGCUUAUGGAUGGGCCCGCGGCGCAUUAGCUAGUUGGUGAGGUAACGGCUCACCAAGGCGACGAUGCGUAGCCGACCUGAGAGGGUGAUCGGCCACACUGGGACUGAGACACGGCCCAGACUCCUACGGGAGGCAGCAGUAGGGAAUCUUCCACAAUGGACGAAAGUCUGAUGGAGCAACGCCGCGUGAGCGAUGAAGGCCUUCGGGUCGUAAAGCUCUGUUGUUAGGGAAGAACAAGUGCGAGAGUAACUGCUCGCACCUUGACGGUACCUAACCAGAAAGCCACGGCUAACUACGUGCCAGCAGCCGCGGUAAUACGUAGGUGGCAAGCGUUGUCCGGAAUUAUUGGGCGUAAAGCGCGCGCAGGCGGUUUCUUAAGUCUGAUGUGAAAGCCCACGGCUCAACCGUGGAGGGUCAUUGGAAACUGGGGAACUUGAGUGCAGAAGAGGAGAGUGGAAUUCCACGUGUAGCGGUGAAAUGCGUAGAGAUGUGGAGGAACACCAGUGGCGAAGGCGACUCUCUGGUCUGUAACUGACGCUGAGGCGCGAAAGCGUGGG
RNAcentral lists this ribosomal RNA (672 nucleotides) under Bacillus sp. SL11. Its description in RNAcentral is "bacterial SSU rRNA". It matches the Rfam family "Bacterial small subunit ribosomal RNA", at positions 107 to 765 of the family's 1533-position model. The record is from RNAcentral. Lineage: Bacteria; Bacillati; Bacillota; Bacilli; Caryophanales; Bacillaceae.